CGACUCUCGGCAACGGAUAUCUUGGCUCUCGCAUCGAUGAAGAACGUAGCGAAAUGCGAUACUUGGUGUGAAUUGCAGAAUCCCGUGAACCAUCGAGUCUUUGAACGCAAGUUGUGCCCGAGGCUAUCCGGCCGAGGGCACGC
RNAcentral lists this ribosomal RNA (143 nucleotides) under Ophiopogon japonicus. Its description in RNAcentral is "5.8S ribosomal RNA". It matches the Rfam family "5.8S ribosomal RNA". From Rfam's summary of the family: 5.8S ribosomal RNA (5.8S rRNA) is a component of the large subunit of the eukaryotic ribosome. The record is from RNAcentral. Lineage: Eukaryota; Viridiplantae; Streptophyta; Magnoliopsida; Asparagales; Asparagaceae.